AUUGAACGCUGGCGGCAUGCUUUACACAUGCAAGUCGAACGGCAGCGCGGGCUUCGGCCUGGCUGCGAGUGGCGCACGGGUGAGUAAUGCAUCGGAACGUGCCCAGUAGUGGGGGAUAGCCCGGCGAAAGCCGGAUUAAUACCGCAUACGACCUGAGGGUGAAAGCGGGGGAGCGAAAGGCCUCGCGCUAUUGGAGCGGCCGAUGUCGGAUUAGCUAGUUGGUGGGGUAAAGGCUUACCAAGGCGACGAUCCGUAGCUGGUCUGAGAGGACGACCAGCCACACUGGGACUGAGACACGGCCCAGACUCCUACGGGAGGCAGCAGUGGGGAAUUUUGGACAAUGGGGGCAACCCUGAUCCAGCCAUGCCGCGUGCGGGAAGAAGGCCUUCGGGUUGUAAACCGCUUUUGUUCGGGAAGAAAUCCUCUGGGCUAAUACCCCGGGGGGAUGACGGUACCGGAAGAAUAAGCACCGGCUAACUACGUG
RNAcentral lists this ribosomal RNA (484 nucleotides) under uncultured bacterium. RNAcentral's name for it is "partial 16S ribosomal RNA". It matches the Rfam family "Bacterial small subunit ribosomal RNA", at positions 28 to 507 of the family's 1533-position model. The record is from RNAcentral.